CGGGGCGUAAAGUGGCGCACGGGUGAGUAACGCGUGGAUAUCUACCCUUAAGAUGGGGAUAACGGCUGGAAACGGUCGCUAAUACCGAAUACGUUUUAUCUGAAAGAUGGCCUUCUUGAAGCUAUCGCUUAAGGAUGAGUCCGCGUCCCAUUAGCUAGUUGGCGGGUAACGGCCCACCAAGGCAACGAUGGGUAGCCGGUCUGAGAGGAUGACCGGCCACACUGGAACUGGAACACGGUCCAGACUCCUACGGGAGGCAGCAGUGGGGAAUAUUGCGCAAUGGGCGAAAGCCUGACGCAGCGACGCCGCGUGAGGGAUGAAGGUUCUCGGAUCGUAAACCUCUGUCAGGGGGGAAGAACCCCCUCGUGUGAAUAAUGCGAGGGCUGACGGUACCCCCAAAGGAAGCACCGGCUAACUCCGUGCCAGCAGCCGCGGUAAUACGGAGGGUGCAAGCGUUAAUCGGAAUCACUGGGCGUAAAGCGCACGUAGGCGGCUUGGUAAGUCAGGGGUGAAAUCCCACAGCCCAACUGUGGAACUGCCUUUGAUACUGCCAGGCUUGGGUACCGGAGAGGGUGGCGGAAUUCCAGGUGUAGGAGUGAAAUCCGUAGAUAUCUGGAGGAACACCGGUGGCGAAGGCGGCCACCUGGACGGUAACUGACGCUGAGGUGCGAAAGCGUGAGUAGCAAACAGGAUUAGAUACCCUGGUAGUCCACGCUGUAAACGAUGGGUGCUGGGUGCUGGG
RNAcentral lists this ribosomal RNA (742 nucleotides) under uncultured bacterium. Its description in RNAcentral is "bacterial SSU rRNA". It matches the Rfam family "Bacterial small subunit ribosomal RNA", at positions 84 to 827 of the family's 1533-position model. The record is from RNAcentral.